Molecule: long non-coding RNA, 211 nt
Filed under: Elaeis guineensis (African oil palm)
Lineage: Eukaryota; Viridiplantae; Streptophyta; Magnoliopsida; Arecales; Arecaceae
Description: long non-coding RNA (EGUI_LNC035656)
Source: RNAcentral
CUGCCAUCAAUAAAGAAAAUAUAGCUAUGACUGAUGAUAUCUACCAAGAGGAUGAGAUGUCGAUUUAAGCUUCAGUUGAAGCAAUAGAUGCACUUGAUGGUGUUGAUAUCCUUGUAGAUUUUAGUAUGUAUCAAAAAUUUGAAAGAAAUAAGUUAAGAGAGUUGCAACAAUAGACAGUAAAAUUGGAACAAGAGUAUGAUGAGAAAGAUAG